GAGUUUGAUCGUGGCUCAGAUUGAACGCUGGCGGCAUGCCUUACACAUGCAAGUCGAGCGGCAGCGCGGGGGCAACCCUGGCGGCGAGCGGCGAACGGGUGAGUAAUACAUCGGAACGUGUCCAGUAGUGGGGGAUAACCUGUCGAAAGAUAGGCUAAUACCGCAUACGAUCUACGGAUGAAAGCGGGGGACCGCAAGGCCUCGCGCUAUUGGAGCGGCCGAUGUCGGAUUAGCUAGUUGGCGGGGUAAAAGCCCACCAAGGCGACGAUCCGUAGCUGGUCUGAGAGGACGACCAGCCACACUGGAACUGAGACACGGUCCAGACUCCUACGGGAGGCAGCAGUGGGGAAUUUUGGACAAUGGGGGCAACCCUGAUCCAGCCAUGCCGCGUGAGUGAAGAAGGCCUUCGGUUGUAAGACUC
This 421-nucleotide ribosomal RNA is filed under the name uncultured beta proteobacterium. RNAcentral's name for it is "bacterial SSU rRNA". It matches the Rfam family "Bacterial small subunit ribosomal RNA", at positions 9 to 433 of the family's 1533-position model. Lineage: Bacteria; Pseudomonadati; Pseudomonadota; Betaproteobacteria. The record is from RNAcentral.